RNAcentral lists this small RNA (557 nucleotides) under Homo sapiens (human). RNAcentral describes it as "chromosome 2 open reading frame 92 (ENSG00000291598.1)". The record is from RNAcentral. Lineage: Eukaryota; Metazoa; Chordata; Mammalia; Primates; Hominidae.
AAGAAAUGAUCAAACACAAACCAUCAAACAUAAAAGACGCCUUCAGAUUCUUCAAAGAACCUUAGAUCACCUUUCAGAGGAGAAGAAUUUUAAAGAAUCCUGUCUGUUCGACAGGGAUUUAAGAGAGCAGUUAACUACUAUAGAUAAAGAAACACUUCAAGGAGCAGCUAAACCAGAUCUCCUCUGGCAAACACGACAUAUAAUAUUUUUAUAAUGGAUGGAAAGACAUGGUGGCACAAUUCUGAAGAAAAAAAUUUCACAAAACUUGCAAAAAAACAGAAACAGUUGAAGAGCAGCUCCUGUGUCUAAGCCAGGUCGUGGGGCCGUCAAACCAGGACUUGAAACCACAAUGCGAGGACAUUCUCCAUCUGCGCACCACAGGGAGGCAAUUCCAUUUCUGCCCGGGAGGUGUAUUCUACAAAAACGUCUGCUUCCCAUCCCAAUUUGAAUGGACCAAGAAAAACUGCUUUACCAUAGGACACUUGUGGCAAUAUGGCACCGAUGGCUGGCGUCGGUGAACCCGACAGACUAUGGAUUUAUCAUUUAAUAAAGCAUUG